Molecule: ribosomal RNA, 417 nt
Filed under: uncultured eukaryote
Lineage: Eukaryota
Description: SSU rRNA
Rfam family: Eukaryotic small subunit ribosomal RNA
Source: RNAcentral
CAAUAGCGUAUAUUAAAGUUGUUGCGGUUAAAAGCUCGUAGUUGGAUUUCUGCCGAGGACGACCGGUCCGCCCUCUGGGUGAGUAUCUGGCUUGGCCUGGGCAUCUUCUUGGAGAACGUAGCUGCACUUGACUGUGUGGUGCGGUAUCCAGGACUUUUACUUUGAGGAAAUUAGAGUGUUUCAAGCAGGCAUACGCCUUGAAUACAUUAGCAUGGAAUAAUAAGAUAGGACCUCGGUUCUAUUUUGUUGGUUUCUAGAGCUGAGGUAAUGAUUAAUAGGGAUAGUCGGGGGGCGUCAGUAUUCAGCUGUCAGAGGUGAAAUUCUUGGAUUGCUGAAGACUAACUACUGCGAAAGCAUUCGCCAAGGAUGUUUUCAUUGAUCAAGAACGAAGUUAGGGAUCGAAGACGAUCAGAUACC